CGCUCCUACGGGGGGCAGCAGUGGGGAAUAUUGGGCAAUGGGCGCAAGCCUGACCCAGCAACGCCGCGUGAAGGAAGAAGGCUUUCGGGUUGUAAACUUCUUUUAUGAGGGACGAAAGAAAUGACGGUACCUCAUGAAUAAGCCACGGCUAACUACGUGCCAGCAGCCGCGGUAAUACGUAGGUGGCAAGCGUUGUCCGGAUUUACUGGGUGUAAAGGGCGUGUAGCCGGGCCGGCAAGUCAGAUGUGAAAUCCCAAGGCUCAACCUUGGAACUGCAUUUGAAACUGUUGGUCUUGAGUAUCGGA
Molecule: ribosomal RNA, 305 nt
Filed under: uncultured bacterium
Lineage: Bacteria
Description: bacterial SSU rRNA
Rfam family: Bacterial small subunit ribosomal RNA
Source: RNAcentral